Molecule: long non-coding RNA, 3458 nt
Organism: Phyllopteryx taeniolatus (common seadragon)
Lineage: Eukaryota; Metazoa; Chordata; Actinopteri; Syngnathiformes; Syngnathidae
Exons: 3
Source: RefSeq, a predicted model, not a curated record
ACCAGUCAGUAUCUGGUGUGACCACCAUUUGCCUCACGCAGUGCAACACAUCUCCUUUGCAUAGUUGAUCAGGUUGUUGAUUGUGGCCUUUUGAAUGUUGGUCCACUCCUCUUCAAUGGCUGUGCGAAGUUGCUGGAUAUUGGCAGGAACUGGAACACGCUGUCGUAUUCGCCGAUCCAGAGCAUCACAAACAUGCUCAAUUGGUGACAUGUCUGGGGAGUACGCUGGCCAUGCAAGCGCACAACAAUGUGGCUCAGGAUCUUGUCAUGGUACCUCUGUGCAUUCAAAAUGCCAUCAAGAAAAUGCAACCGUGUUCGUUGCCCAUAACAUAUGCCUGCCCAUACCACAACACCACCGCCGCAAUGGGCCACUCGAUCCACAACGUUGACAUCAGCAAACCAGAUGCCAUCGAAUGUGAGCAUUCACCCACACAAGUCGGUUACGACGACGAACUCCAGUCAGGUCGAUGAGGAUGACGAGCAUGCAGAUGAGCUUCCCUCAGAUGUUUUCUGACAGUUUGUGCAGAAAUUCUUUGGUUAUGCAAACCAAUUGUUGCAGGAGCUGUCCGGGUGGCUGGUCUCAGAUGAUCUUGGAGGUGAACAUGCUGGAUGUGGAGGUCCUGGGCUGGUGUGGUUACAUGUUGUCUGCAGUUGUGAGCCCGGUUGGAUGUACUGCCAAAUUGUCUGAAAUGCCUUUGGAGAUGGCUUAUGGUAGCGAAAUGAGCAUUAAAUUCACGGGCAACAGCUCUGAUGGACAUUCCUGCAGUCAGCGUUGCCAAUUGCACGCUCCCUCAGAACUUGCGACAUCUGUGGCAUUGUGCUUUGUGAUAAAACUGCACAUUUCAUAGUGUCCUUUUAUUGUGGCCAGCCUAAUAAUCAUGCUGUCUAAUCAGCAUUUUGAUAUGCCACACCUGUGAGGUGGGAUGGAUUAUCUCGAUAUUUGAGGGAAAUUGCCUUUUGUGCAUGUAGAAAAAGUUUUAGAACUUGGAGUCCAGCUCAUGAAAAAUGGGAGCAAAAACAAAAGUGAUACGUUUUUAUUUUAUAUUUUUGUGCAGUUUGUAUAUAUACACACACACACACGCAUACAUACACAAAACAAUAUCCUGCGUUUCAUGUUCCUGUUUCUCAGCCUGCCUGUGUGCUACUUUGUUUAGUUUUUUUGCCUCCACAGUGUUCUUGCUGAGCGUUGCUGCCCACAGCCUUUUGCAUUGAACCUGCUGUUGAGGAUCGUCAGCUGAGUAUUUAAACGCAGCAGAAGCCAAAGCAAGACGGCGGGAAGUGGAGCGGGUGGAGCUGCGUUGCGGCCGACACAACCUGGAGGUGAAAACGCUCAAGACUGUAAAGAUGAUCGUCGAUCCUUCGCCACAGCUGCCCCUCACUCUGUCCAACUGCCCUGUAGCAACCGUUGAAACCUUCAAGUUCCUGGGAAUUACAGUCUCUCAUGAACUGAAGUGGGAGAUCAACUUCAACUCCAUCCUCAAAAAGGCCCAGUAGAGGGUGUACCUCCUGCGGCUUCUGAGGAAGCACGGCCUGCCCCAGGAGCUGUUGAGGCAGUUCUACACAGCAGUCAUUGAAUCAGUCCUGUGUUCUUCCAUCACAAUCUGGUUUGGUGCUGCUACAAAAAAUGACAAACUUCGACUGCAUGCUGCCAGAACUACGUCAAGAGCAUGCAAAAUCCUCUUGGAGCCUCCAUAUCCUGGUCACCACCUCUUCCAGCUCCUUCCCUCAGGUCGGCGCUACUGAACAUUCCAACAGCUUUUUCCCUCUUGCCAUUAACUUCUUAAACAGUUAACUUACAAUUCCAUUGUAACAUGCUGCCAAUUUCUUGUCUUGUGUUUGUUGUGACAUUUCUGUCGGGCCAAUUAUACAUUACCCGUUCACUCAGUGUAGUAGUCUUGCCACGCUGCACUAUUUGCAUAUGUUGUUGGCCACUUAUGUGCUUGAGUAGCAUCUGCAACAUUUGCACAAUCGACAUUGUCCCAGAUUAUUGCACUACUAGUCACUUUAAACUGCAUACAUUUCUUGAAGUCUCGGCGCCCUUUGCACAAUGGUCAUUGCACCGGACUAUUGUUUUAUUAGUCAUUUCAAACGGCUCUAAUUGCUAGAGGACAUCUUUUCGCACAAUUGUCAAAAAAAAAAUACAAAAUUUAAUUGUACCGGCAUAACCAGAUUACUAGCAACCUUUUAUUGCUCAGUGACUGUUGUUUUUUUUUUGUGUUUUUUUUUUUAUUAAUGUCUUUAUGUCUCAAAAGUGUUCUCUGUCAAUUGACUGUCUGUUGUCGUACUGAAGUGGCUCCAACUACCGGAGACAAAUUGCUUGUGUGUUUUUGACAUACUUGGCAAAUAAAGAUGAUUCUGAUUCUGAUUAACAAAAAUUCCAAGGUUAUCACAGAUAAAUGAAAAUGCAGUAGAACAAUACAGCAUUAAAUUCUGUAUGCUUAACGUCAAAAACAAUGCAAGGGUACGUGUAAAUAUUGCAGUUUAAUAGACUGGGUGUUCUUUUGAAUAGAUAAUCAAUACACAAAGCUCUUGUGCAAGUUUUUGUAUUAAUGUGAACAUCUUUGAUGUAUCACUUCUGUUCAAGUAACAAGGAAAAGUUGUCUGUUUACUUUCGACAGCACUGGAUGUUCUGCACCAGAUCAGAGGAAACAACAAGUUCAUCUGCUGAUCUAGGACAAGCCUGUUUUUCACAAACACGCAUAUCUACAGGCCGGAACACAAGGCUAUGAAGGAGUAUGUGCUCCGGCUGGAGUCCAGGAAGCUCGCUCCCAGGUUCGUUGGGCCCUUCCCCAUCACAAAGAUCAUCAACCCUGUCACCGUGAAGCUUAGGCUCCCAAGGUCGAUGCGGGUCCACCCUGCUUUUCACGUCAGCCUGCUCAAGCCCGCCGGGGAGUCCCCUCUGGUCCCGCCUUCCAGGCCCCCUCCUCCCCCCCCGGUUCGUGGAUGGGGGCCCUGUCUUCACUGUGAGGCGGCUGUUGUCGUCUCGUCGGAGGGGGAGGGGGUUUCAAUAUCUGGUGGACUGGGAGGGCUACGGGCCUGAGGAACGUUUAUGGGAUCCGUCUGCGUUUAUCGUGGAUGACUCGCUCAUUCGGGACCGUCUGGGGCCGGCCGUUAAUGGAGGGUUACUGUCAUGGGUGUGUGUUCCGGUUGUUGUCUUCCCGCUGUCUCAUACACACCUGCUCCUGAGAGCAUCUUCACCACCUGUGCCUCGUUCACCCUAAUUACCCCUUGCAUUUAACCUCAUGUCUCAUUCUUUCUAGUCGCCAGUUCGUUGUACCUUGUCGUCGCGUUCCAGCAUUCCUUGUUUCCACGUCACAGACUCACAGUAAGACUAGACCCUGUUCCGAUUAUCGACCUCGCCUUUUUGCCUCACAUUUUUGGAUACUGUUGCCUUUUUGGGAUUGCCUGCCUGUGUACCGACCUCUGCCCGUUGAUUAAACCUCUCUCUUUUUGAAACUG